This 497-nucleotide ribosomal RNA is filed under the name uncultured bacterium. RNAcentral's name for it is "partial 16S ribosomal RNA". It matches the Rfam family "Bacterial small subunit ribosomal RNA", at positions 28 to 507 of the family's 1533-position model. The record is from RNAcentral.
GAUGAACGCUGGCGGCGUGCCUAAUACAUGCAAGUCGAGCGAACAGACGAGGAGCUUGCUCCUCUGACGUUAGCGGCGGACGGGUGAGUAACACGUGGAUAACCUACCUAUAAGACUGGGAUAACUUCGGGAAACCGGAGCUAAUACCGGAUAAUAUAUUGAACCGCAUGGUUCAAUAGUGAAAGACGGUUUUGCUGUCCCUUAUAGAUGGAUCCGCGCCGCAUUAGCUAGUUGGUAAGGUAACGGCUUACCAAGGCAACGAUGCGUAGCCGACCUGAGAGGGUGAUCGGCCACACUGGAACUGAGACACGGUCCAGACUCCUACGGGAGGCAGCAGUAGGGAAUCUUCCGCAAUGGGCGAAAGCCUGACGGAGAAACGCCGCGUGAGUGAUGAAGGUCUUCGGAUCGUAAAACUCUGUUAUUAGGGAAGAACAAAUGUGUAAGUAACUAUGCACGUCUUGACGGUACCUAAUCAGAAAGCCACGGCUAACUACGUG